CCAGAGUGCCUAGUGCGAGUUUUAUUCACAGAAACAUGACAGAAACGCGUUUAUACGUGAAGAUUAUUUUGCAUGGGAAUUUAAACAGUGCAGCCUAGACGAUAAAGAAUAGUACACGAUACAAUCGAUACAGAGCCAUCUAGCGGCAAACGCGAGAACUAGGUUGAAAUGCCGAAUUUCCCAUACAAAAUGAAGUUAAAAUUUACGUCCGUUAUUGCGAGACGGAU
This 227-nucleotide unclassified non-coding RNA is filed under the name Melitaea cinxia (Glanville fritillary). RNAcentral's name for it is "misc RNA ENSMCXG00005021588.1". The record is from RNAcentral. Lineage: Eukaryota; Metazoa; Arthropoda; Insecta; Lepidoptera; Nymphalidae.